RNAcentral lists this non-coding RNA (45 nucleotides) under Echinostoma caproni. Lineage: Eukaryota; Metazoa; Platyhelminthes; Trematoda; Plagiorchiida; Echinostomatidae. The record is from RNAcentral.
GCACUGCCGACGGGUCCAAAAUAGGACGAAACAGCUGUCCAGUGC